RNAcentral lists this ribosomal RNA (496 nucleotides) under Opisthotropis lateralis. Its description in RNAcentral is "partial large subunit ribosomal RNA". It matches the Rfam family "Bacterial large subunit ribosomal RNA", at positions 1838 to 2597 of the family's 2925-position model. Lineage: Eukaryota; Metazoa; Chordata; Lepidosauria; Squamata; Natricidae. The record is from RNAcentral.
AACAAAUAUUAAAGGCAACGCCUGCCCAGUGAACAAUUAAACGGCCGCGGUAUCCUAACCGUGCAAAGGUAGCAUAAUCAUUUGUCUAUUAACUGUAGACCUGUAUGAAAGGCAAAAUGAGGGUUUAACUGUCUCUUAUAAUAAAUCUAUUAAACUGAUCUACUAGUAAAAAAGCUAGUAUAACCCCAUAAGACCAGAAGACCCUGUGAAGCUUAAACUAAAAUAUUAAACCCAAUAAUAACUACUUUCGGUUGGGGCGACCUUGGAAACAAAAAGAACUUCCAAACAUAAAUGAUAUUACACAUAAACUUUAGGCCCACAAGCCAACAAAUGACCCAGUACUGCUGAUAAUCGAACAAAGUUACUCCAGGGAUAACAGCGCCAUCUUCUUCAAGAGCCCAUAUCAAAAAGAAGGUUUACGACCUCGAUGUUGGAUCAGGACAUCCCAAUGGUGCAGCCGCUAUUAAAGGUUCGUUUGUUCAACGAUUAAUGUCCU